AAAAACCUGAACAGACUUUUGG
This 22-nucleotide microRNA is filed under the name Bos taurus (domestic cattle). Its description in RNAcentral is "bta-miR-2285df". Lineage: Eukaryota; Metazoa; Chordata; Mammalia; Artiodactyla; Bovidae. The record is from miRBase by way of RNAcentral.